This 67-nucleotide transfer RNA is filed under the name Blepharipoda liberata. RNAcentral's name for it is "tRNA-Tyr". The record is from RNAcentral. Lineage: Eukaryota; Metazoa; Arthropoda; Malacostraca; Decapoda; Blepharipodidae.
AAUAAGAUGGCCGAGUUUAUAGGCGGUAGAUUGUAAAUCUAUGCACGAAUAAUAUUUUCUCUUAUUG